AUACGUAGGGUGCGAGCGUUGUCCGGAAUUACUGAGCGUAAAGAGCUCGUAGGUGGUUUGUCGCGUCGUCUGUGAAAUUCCGGGGCUUAACUCCGGGCGUGCAGGCAAUACGGGCAUAACUUGAGUACUGUAGGGGAGACUGGAAUUCCUGGUGUAGCGGUGAAAUGCGCAGAUAUCAGGAGGAACACCGGUGGCGAAGGGGGGUCUCUGGGCAGUAACUGACGCUGAGGAGCGAAAGCAUGGGUAGCGAACAGGAUUAGAGACCCUGGUAGUCCAUGCCGUAAACGGUGGGCGCUAGGUGUAGGGGUCUUCCACGACUUCUGUGCCGUAGCUAACGCAUUAAGCGCCCCGCCUGGGGAGUACGGCCGCAAGGCUAAAACUCAAAGGAAUUGACGGGG
This 398-nucleotide ribosomal RNA is filed under the name uncultured bacterium. RNAcentral describes it as "partial 16S ribosomal RNA". It matches the Rfam family "Bacterial small subunit ribosomal RNA", at positions 523 to 918 of the family's 1533-position model. The record is from RNAcentral.